RNAcentral lists this ribosomal RNA (2499 nucleotides) under human gut metagenome. RNAcentral's name for it is "bacterial LSU rRNA". The stretch from base 1 to 2032 matches the Rfam family "Bacterial large subunit ribosomal RNA". The record is from RNAcentral.
UCAAGCAUGUAAGAGCGUAGGGUGGAUGCCUUGGCACUAAGAGCCGAUGAAAGACGUGAUAAGCUGCGAUAAGCUUCGGGGAGGAGCAAAUAUCCUUUGAUCCGGAGAUCUCUGAAUGGGGAAACCCGGCUGUAUGGACUACAGUCAUCCAUAAGUGAAUCCAUAGCUUAUGGAAGGGAACCCGGGGAACUGAAACAUCUAAGUACCCGGAGGAAGAGAAAGAAACAUUCGAUUCCGUAAGUAGCGGCGAGCGAACGCGGAAGAGCCCAAACCGUGAUGCGUGCAUCGCGGGGUUCGGACUGCAUAAGGGAUUCAGUAACGGCAGGAGAACGGCUUUGGAACAGCCGGCCAGAGAGGGUGAGAGCCCCGUAUCCGAAGCCAGAGCUGACCCGGCAGGAUCCAGAGUACCACGGGACACGGGAAACCCUGUGGGAACGAGCGGAGACCACUCCGUAAGGCUAAAUACUACUCAGUGACCGAUAGCGUAUAGUACUGUGAAGGAAAGGUGAAAAGAACCCCGGGAGGGGAGUGAAAGAGAACCUGAAACCCUGUGUCUACAAGCUGUGGAAGUGCUUCUUAUGCACGACCGCGUACUUUUUGUAGAACGGUCCGGCGAGCUGCGGGUACUGGCAAGGUUAAGCACCUAAGGUGCGGAGCCGUAGGGAAACCAAGUCUUAAGAGGGCGUUUUAGUCAGUACGUGCAGGCCCGAAACCGGGUGACCUAUCCAUGUCCAGGUUGAAGCCGCCGUAAAAGGCGAUGGAGGACCGAACCCACAUCCGUUGAAAAGGGUGGGGAUGAGGUGUGGAUAGCGGAGAAAUUCCAAUCGAACCCGGAGAUAGCUGGUUCUCCUCGAAAUAGCUUUAGGGCUAGCCUCAUACAAGUCUGCCGGAGGUAGAGCACUGAAUUUCCGCGGGGGCGUCAAAGCCUACCAAAGAAUAUCAAACUCCGAAUGCCGGACAGAUGGUGUAUGGGAGUCAGACUGUACGAGAUAAGUUGGACAGUCAAAAGGGAAAGAGCCCAGACCGCCGGCUAAGGUCCCAAAGUGGGUGUUAAGUGGAAAAGGAUGUGGGAUCUCUAAGACAACCAGGAUGUUGGCUCAGAAGCAGCCAUUCAUUAAAAGAGUGCGUAACAGCUCACUGGUCGAGAGGUCCUGCGCCGAAAAUGUCCGGGGCUGAAACACCACACCGAAGCCGCGGAACCCGUAAGGGUUGGUAGAGGAGCAUUCUUAGGGGAGCGAAGCAUUACCGGAAGGGGAUGUGGACUGCUAAGAAGAGAGAAUGCCGGAAUGAGUAGCGAGAGCAAGGUGAGAAUCCUUGCGGCCGAAUAUCCAAGGUUUCCAGAGUAAAGCUGAUCUGCUCUGGGUAAGUCGGGGCCUAAGGAGAGGCAGAGAUGCGUAUCCGAUGGACAGCAGGUUUAAGAUUCCUGCACCCCUUGUUAUCAGAACUGCGGGGACACGGGAAGGGAAGCAGAGCCGGGAAUGGAAAGCCCGGUGCAAGCGAAGUAGUCGCAGGGUUGGAAAAUCCGCCCUGCAUGAGACGAAGGCGUGAUGCGGAGCGAAAUGAAGUAGUGAAGCUGCGGCCCCUUCCUGUCGAGAAAAGCCGCUAUCGUGUAGCAAGGGCCCGUACCGUAAACCGACACAGGUGGAUGAGGAGAGGAUCCUAAGGCCGGCGGGAGAAGUGUUGUUAAGGAACUCGGCAAAAUGACUCCGUAACUUCGGGAGAAGGAGUGCUGCGCAAGCAGCCGCAGAGAAAUGGCCCAAGCAACUGUUUAGCAAAAACACAGGUCUAUGCGAAACCGAAAGGUGAGGUAUAUGGGCUGACGCCUGCCCGGUGCUGGAAGGUUAAGGGGAGAUGUUAGAGCAAUCGAAGCAUCGAACUUAAGCCCCAGUAAACGGCGGCCGUAACUAUAACGGUCCUAAGGUAGCGAAAUUCCUUGUCGGGUUACGGCCUGCAGGCGGCGGCAGACCUGGGCAGCGGUCUGGCCAAAAACGGGGCCAUCAUCGUCAGCGGUCUGGCCGAUGGGCUGGACAGCGCCGGGCACCGGGCCGCAGUGAAGGAGAACUGCCCCACCAUCGGGGUGCUGGGCGUGCCCAUUGACCGCACCUACCCGGCCUCCAACCGGGAGCUGCGGAAAAAGAUCGAGCAAAAGGGCUGCGUGAUCAGCGAGUACCCGCCCGAGAGCGGCCCUGUUGGCCCCAAUGGCUUUUUGCAGCGCAACCGGCUCAUUGCGGCGCUGUCCUCGGCGCUGGUGGUGGUGGAAGCGCAGGAAAAGAGCGGCACCAUGUCCACAGUCAACCAUGCCGAGCGGUAUGGCAAGCCGGUGUUCGUGGUGCCGGGCAGCAUCUACUCGCCCAACUCAGCAGGCACCAAUGCCCUGCUGCGGGAGGGCCGUGCCAAAGCCGUCUGUAAGCCCGGCGACCUGUCCGGGGUGCUGGGCCUGCGGGGCGCAGCGGCUCCGGCGGCGGUGCGCUCUGCGCCUGACCCCAUGAGCGAGACUGA